AUUGAACGCUGGCGGCAGGCCUAACACAUGCAAGUCGAGCGGAAGAAGGUAGUUUGCUCCUGGAUUCAGCGGCGGACGGGUGAGUAAUGCCUAGGAAUCUGCCUGGUAGUGGGGGAUAACGUCCGGAAACGGGCGCUAAUACCGCAUACGUUCUGAGGGAGAAAGUGGGGGAGCUUCGGACCUCACGCUAUCAGAUGAGCCUAGGUCGGAUUUGCUAGUUGGUGGGGUAAAGGCCUACCAAGGCGACGGUCCGUAACUGGUCUGAGAGGGAGAUGAGUGACGCUGGAAAUGGGACACGGUCCCGACCCAGACGGGAGGCGGCAGUGGGGGAUAUUGGAAAAUGGGGGUAGGCCUGAUCCAGACAUGCCGCGUGUGUGAAGAAGAUCUUCGGAUUGUAAAGCAAUUUAAGUUGGGAGGAAGAGCAGUAAGUUAAUACCUUGCUGUUUUGACGUUACCAGCAGAAUAAGCACCGGCUAACUUCGUG
This 484-nucleotide ribosomal RNA is filed under the name uncultured bacterium. Its description in RNAcentral is "partial 16S ribosomal RNA". It matches the Rfam family "Bacterial small subunit ribosomal RNA", at positions 30 to 507 of the family's 1533-position model. The record is from RNAcentral.